GUGGGGAAUAUUGGACAAUGGGCGAAAGCCUGAUCCAGCCAUGCCGCGUGUGUGAAGAAGGUCUUCGGAUUGUAAAGCACUUUAAGUUAGGAGGAAGGGUAGUAACCUAAUACGUUGCUACUUUGACGUUACCGACAGAAUAAGCACCGGCUAACUUCGUGCCAGCAGCCGCGGUAAUACGAAGGGUGCAAGCGUUAAUCGGAAUUACUGGGCGUAAAGCGCGCGUAGGUGGUUCAGUAAGUUGGAAGUGAAAUCCCCGGGCUCAACCUGGGAACUGCUUUCAAAACUGCUGAGCUAGAGUACGGUAGAGGGUGGUGGAAUUUCCUGUGUAGCGGUGAAAUGCGUAGAUAUAGGAAGGAACACCAGUGGCGAAGGCGACCACCUGGACUGAUACUGACACUGAGGUGCGAAAGCGUGGGGAGCAAACAGGAUUAGAAACCCUGGUAGUCC
This 450-nucleotide ribosomal RNA is filed under the name uncultured bacterium. RNAcentral's name for it is "partial 16S ribosomal RNA". It matches the Rfam family "Bacterial small subunit ribosomal RNA", at positions 354 to 796 of the family's 1533-position model. The record is from RNAcentral.